CCAAAGAGCACGAGCAAUGUCAAUGGAGGGUGGUGCUUUAGGAUCUACAGCUGUGACUGACUCUGCUAUGGCAAAAGCUGGUGCAGUUGACCCUGACUUAGCGUUAGCUCUUCAAAUGUCUGUCCAGGAUGCAAACAUGUCCAGUGACACUGAUAUGAGUAAGGUGUUUGAAGACAUAACGUUUGUGUCAUCUAUCCUUAAUUCACUUCCUGGUGUUGAUCCGAAUGAUCCAUCUGUUAAAG
Zea mays is the source of this 242-nucleotide long non-coding RNA. RefSeq lists it as uncharacterized. Lineage: Eukaryota; Viridiplantae; Streptophyta; Magnoliopsida; Poales; Poaceae. The record is from RefSeq and is a predicted model, not a curated record. The transcript has 3 exons.